UCAAAAAAUACACUCAUUUUGCCGGACGGGAAACCUCGCACGUUCUGAUAGUAUACAGUUAUAUACGUGGAACGGACAUUGAGUGGUAAGUGUGUGUAGGUUGGUGCAUGGUCAUCGGUGAGAGAUCGUGUUGUUGACGUGUUGUUAUUUCGUGUAAACAAGUGACUAGUCAGAUUCAGUGGCACAGUGCCUUUCGAGGAAACAGUUGUGUGAUAGUUACUUAAGAAAAAAGUGUUGAAUAGUGGUUUGGUGCAUUUUAACGGUGUUUGGUGUAGCUGUAGUUGUUUUUGGUGGAGCAGGCGAUAUUAAGGUACAAUUCAUAUCGGGUGAUAAUUGUACAGGGUGCAUCGGGCUAUGUCGAACAGGUAUAGGUAUGUUUGUGUUGGUGAAUUCAGGGCGAUGGUGAGACGGCCUUUGCGGGAGUGAGAUAAACUCACGCACACCAAGCCCGACCGGCCAAGAUCCUGCGCAAACUAAAAGCGAUGACGUCCGUGGUGUCCAACUGUGAUUUUACCAUCGACACUACCUGGUCAACGGUGACGGUAUUAGCCAACUUAGACAGAUGUAGCCACCUAUAGUUUGUUCUUGGUAGUUGUGACACGGUUGGGAUCGACGUGGUGUUGGUAUCGGUUCCUGUUAUGGUGGUGGUGGUGGUAGUGAAGGGCGAUUUCUUUGGUGAGUAUUGUCGGUGUCUGUAUUUACAGGGUAUAGUGGAGCAUUGUCAACAACAAUGGUUUCCGUGGAUGCAACAACGUCACGGAACAACCUUCUACGCUUUCCACUCGGGAGGGCAUCCGGGGGCAGUACGUUGAAGCGUUCGCUAGGAGCUUGGUGAGCCGCGGCAAAACUGGCAAAGCCCUCACGGAUUUCGUGCAUCACAGGCGGGACUAAAGCAGCUUUCAUCACCUCGACAGCGGCAGUAAGAGCCGCCUGGAAGCCGACCUGCAUACCCGUUGUUUUGACUGCUUUACUAUGUGGGAUGCCAAGAGCAUUCGAACACCCUACACAGCUCCAAUGAAGAGAUGCCGUCCGUUUUACCUCUUCGAUCACAGUGGAAGUUGCCGUUGCAGAUAGAUGCCACAGGACUCAGGAACAAACGCAGGAAUACAGCAAAGUCAGGAAAGGUUGUGGCGAACAAUUGAAGGCAGGACUACCAGAGACAGCUUAUGUCACAGCUAAGCGGCAGUUUGACGAAAAUUAGGCCGAAACAACGAAAUAAUUCACGAAUUUACGCGGAGCACAGUGAGAAAACACACUCAGUCGUCAGCUGUCAACUGUCAACUUAGCUCUCAGCUGUCAACUGUCAACUGUCAACAACACACUUACUGGUACUUUUUUCUCGUUGUUACCAUUUGAACCCCGUUUAGCUAGUGAACGAACUUCCAAAAUCCAUCGAACUUAUAUCAGAUAACGAUAACGAUUUCUCACUAAAAUUUAAACUUUAGUAAUCUGAUUUUUUUCCAUGCCGUCAAAUGCUCAUAGUGCAAUGUCGAAAACGUCGCACUGUCAACACGAGAGAAAGAGCCCAGGACACCCAAGAAAAGGGGAGCAUCCACACCUUAUUAACACGUGAUUGGACAAUACGUUAAUAGAUAGGUUUUACUUUCGGAAUAUAUUUCGGGAUGUAUUAUUGACAUUGUAAUAGUUCUAUUCAUAGCUGUUUCUUAUUGCUUAGUUAGUGAUAUUACACGUUUUUAUCAAAAUCGUUUACAUUUGGCUAUGGAAAUGUAAUGCUCGUCACAUCGUCGUAUUUUGCGAGCAUUAUUUUCGUCAAGUCUCUCAAAGGCACUGUUGGGACCAAAAGAUUGGGUCUGUUUUCUGCUUUUUUCUACGUUGUGUUUUAUCGAUUGAAAUUGCAGUGCAAAAAGAGAACGAAACAAAAUUCAGACUUCUUAUAUACCUUUCUCUAGAGCCUGUCGUUCCUGACGGACACAAUCCUAUCCGUUACCAACUAACAAAACCCGCAAAACGGUAGUUCCUCAUUCCGUUAAUUUAAAUUAUGAAUGAAUCCUAACCGCGAGGCUACGUGAGGUGAAAUAUACAGCGAAAUGAACUAUUUGACAGGCGAAAUAUCUGGCGGAUAAAGCAUCUCAGCAACCAGCUGAUGUGCAAUGUAAACCAAUAACGUGCACAAAAUCGUAACUAAAUCCAUUGAAUAACUAUUGAAUUUAUUAUCCUAUGAAGCUAUCCAGUACUUCGUCAAUUUUGAACCAACAGAUAAUAAUUAGUGAAUGUUCUGCUCAAGAAGAUAAUAUUUUUAAGUGAAUUUCGAAAGCGGAUGUUGUGUCUCCCCCAACCCUUUAGCUGAAUCUGUCAGAUAUUUCACCUGUCAGAAUAGUUCAUUUCGCUGUAUAUUUUUCCUCAUGUAGCCGCACGGUAACAGGCACCUUAUGCUCUAGAUUGUGCUCUCCCCUGUUCCGAUUCGGUCCUAAGGUGAAAAUGUUGCUAGCGUAAUGCACUAGAAAUGAUCCAAGUAAUCAUGCUUAGGAAACCAUAAGUGUAAAGUUGUAUAUAAACGGUUCAAUGUUUGGUGAUACGUGUAGUAAGAUAACGACUGAUUAACAAAAUACAUAUCAUACGAAAUUAGAU
Anopheles arabiensis is the source of this 2589-nucleotide long non-coding RNA. RefSeq lists it as uncharacterized. The transcript has 3 exons. Lineage: Eukaryota; Metazoa; Arthropoda; Insecta; Diptera; Culicidae. The record is from RefSeq and is a predicted model, not a curated record.